CAGUCGCCGCGGUAAUACGAGGGGGGCAAGCGUUGUUCGGAAUUAUUGGGCGUAAAGCGUGCGUAGGCGGUUACUCAAGUCAGAGGUGAAAGCCCGGGGCUCAACCCCGGAACUGCCUUUGAAACUAGGUGACUAGAAUCUUGGAGAGGUCAGUGGAAUUCCGAGUGUAGAGGUGAAAUUCGUAGAUAUUCGGAAGAACACCAGUGGCGAAGGCGACUGACUGGACAAGUAUUGACGCUGAGGUGCGAAAGCGUGGGGAGCAAACAGGAUUAGAUACCCGUGUAGUCCCUGUCUCUUAUAC
Molecule: ribosomal RNA, 301 nt
Filed under: uncultured bacterium
Lineage: Bacteria
Description: partial 16S ribosomal RNA
Rfam family: Bacterial small subunit ribosomal RNA
Source: RNAcentral